Molecule: long non-coding RNA, 3808 nt
Organism: Panthera uncia (snow leopard)
Lineage: Eukaryota; Metazoa; Chordata; Mammalia; Carnivora; Felidae
Exons: 6
Source: RefSeq, a predicted model, not a curated record
GAAGGGCACGCACGGCCGCCUUCGCAGCCGAGAUCGCGUCCUCCCGCCUUCUCCCCGCGUGAUUUUGACCGCCACGACUCCCCUGUUGAUUCCGUGAAACACACAACUCCCUCCUUGCCUCCCUGGAGUGGCAAACCGGGAGAGGAGCCCAGAAUGGUAAGCAGGAGCCAGCAUGCCAUCUCCCAGGAGCCUGAGCCGGGGCCUCUCACUUAGGUCUAGUUUCUUGUCCAAGACACCGCCUCUGCCUUUUGCAACAUUGCAAUGAUUGGCAAAAAGAAUGACCUCAUCUCUCUGGCUCAAUCUUGCCCAAUCUCUGGAACCUUCUAUGACUCAGACCCAGGCCAUUCCACAUGUUGUGCUGGGUUUGGAAAGGAUAAAACACACACAGCCCACCCUGCACAACAACAACCGGGCUCAGCCACAUGACUCUCUGGAAAUGGCUCCCAGCUCCCCACAGUUUGAACAUAAAUAAGGUGGAGCACACGAAGUUGAAGGCAGCAUUACGGAACUCAGACCUACUCCUGUGAGCACUGGGAAGUGUGGAAGGUGCCCUGCCAUAAAAGCAUGUAGAUUCUGGUUCCAACCCUGCCCGAGGGUUGAGCUUGCAGUUUGCAAUUCUCAAGGAAGACAUUUUUCCUCCUGUACUGCCUGCUACCAGCAGGACAGAGGAACCUUCCAGCAAGCCUUUUAUCUGGCUUCACAAGGAACAAGUGCGUUGUAAUGCUGAGUCCCCCUCAGACUACACCCACACAGCUAUAAAGACACAUCUACCUACACGGGAAAGAAUGUGAGCCUGAGAAUGAGGACCAACCUCUCCUAAAAUGAGAACUCACUCCCUGUCUUACUCAUAAAUGGCACCAUAAGUACUGGUUGAAUCGUCUGCUUUCUUUUUCUUCCAAACUCUUAUUCUCUAGACUUUGGUGCUCCAGAGCAGCAUAACUCAUUUUAGCUUCUCAUUCACCCUCACCCGAGUCCCCUGGGCUUGGCUUCUUGCCUCCUUGCCUGUAGAUAUUGCCUUUGAGUCCAGGCUGAGGCUCUGAAACUCAUCCUUUGCUCACACAUCUAUGGAAUCAGUAUGCUAUCCCUGCCUGGCCAGAUUGGGGUCCCAGCUCCUCUGAUGCAGAGCAGCCUGGCCAUCUGCUCAUACCCUGAGAGACCAUGGUCACAAUUUAAGGAAUCAGUUUGGAUAUUCCCUGAGAGCUCCUGCCAUUCCCGUCCCCUCCCAGAUAGAGCCACCAGAAGCCGUCCACCGGGAGACUCAGGCCUCCUCAUUCAGUCAAUCGUGACUGAGCAGUGCUUCUCGAAGUUUAACAUGCAGACAGAUCACCUGGGGAUCAGGUCAUAUUCUGAUAUUUGGGUCUGGGGUGGGGUGGGAUCCUGCAUCUCUUAAGAAGUUCCCAAAUCAUGUUAAUGGUUCAUGAACUUCACUUUGAGUAGUAACAUGAGACUGUGUAGACUAUCAACUUCAACUUCACCUGGAGAUAGGGUCUAUAAUGCAAUUUUUUCCCCAUUUAUUAGCAAACAUGUAUUAAACACUUUCUCUGUCUUCAUGGUCAUUGCUGCACUGAUAAGAUCCCUUCUUUGCUUUCAAGGAGCUGACAAACUAAUAGUUUAGAAGCCUAUAUGUUUGAGGGGCACUUGGGUGACUCAGUCAGUUGAGCGUCUGACUUUGGCUCAGGUCUCACAGUUUGUGGGUUCAAGCCCCGUGUUGGGCUCUGUGCUGACAGCUCAGAGCCUGGAGCCUUCUUUGGAUUUUGUGUCUCGCUGUCUCUCUGCUCUUCCCCCGCUCAUGCUCUGUCUCUCUCUUCUUCAAAAAUAAAUAAAACAUUAAAAAAAAUUUUUUUAAGCCUAUAUAUUUGGGACCUAUAUACUUUAUAAAGCUUAAUUCUCACAACAUCCCUAUUGGAUUAGUAUUAUUUCUGUAUUCUACAUGAGGAAACUGAGCCUUAAAGAAGUUAAGAAGCUUGUCAAAGUUGUGCUGAUGGGAAAUGACAGCCCGGAUUCCAGCUCACAUCUCUGGCUCUGAGCCUUCAUACUUUCUGGGAUAUCUCAAGCAUCUCUUCCUUAAUGCUCUUAUGUUGCCAGAAUCCAUACAGCUGGGCCUCUGCUUCAGUUUCCUUGCCUAACACUUUAGUUUUUGGCAUUCUGGCUUACUUAAGCUGAGCCCUGCUCCAACCCCUUCCCGUCCCUCCCUACUUCCCCCUCCAGCUCGGCUAGUGAUCCUGUAUCCAGCUCUUUCCAGUCCCUCCUUACCUGUCCAUCUCCUAGUUGGGAUUCUGCUACAGAUAGUCCAGUUGCCUGGAAACAAAACAUCAUUCCAUGUUGCAAAAUAGCUUCUAGGAACUAGAAUGUUUCCUUUCCUCUAUAGCUCACCCCUCAUGAUUCUUUGAAGUUUCAUACCAGGCAUCAGGCACUUCCUAAAGUAAAUAAGCUACAUAAUAGGCACAGUGGAGAAAGAAGGAAGUGGCACUAAUUUAUGCAAACUUCAUUCUCCAACCUCUUAAGCCCAGGGCGGUAUUCCUAAUGGGCCAGGCAUCCUUUCCCUAGGGAUGGGUGUGGCAGCUAGUAGAGCUCACGAUUUGACUCAUCCCAAACACAGUCUCUGCUCUGCCAGGCUCUGCUGAGGCUCUGGGGACAGCAUAAAGAGUGGGGUAGAGUCUGGGGAGUUGUCUGCAUAGGAUGGAUGUUACAUAGACCACAGAAGUCCUGGCCUGUCAUCAUAGCUUUGAUUUCUCCUAGGGUUCCCCACUCCCUCCCCACCUGCCCUUCUUAGGGCCAACUUUAAGCAAGGAGCUUACUUCUUAUUGGCUCAUUUACUCCCAUGUAAUUACCCAGUGCAGAGGGAAGGGAAGUAUUUGCUAUUGCUUCAACUGUUUCAUCUUACUUAGAGUGGCAGAAUUUAGCAAGAAUUAGGAAUUGAAAUGUGUCAUUGACAGUUUUCACUGACCAAAGCAACGUUUUCACUGUUACUCAAUGUAAUCCAUUCUACCCCAAGACACUAUGACUUUAGGUGAAAAAUCUCUACCAGAAUUUUGUAAACCAUUCCAUGCUUAGACUGACACUUUUGAUGAUCAUAAACCAGACUUUAGGCAAUCUUCUGUAGGCCCUAUAUCAUUUUAAGUGACAUCUGUUACUUGUUUUAAGUAUUCCUUCCCUCCACGCACAUACCCAGCGGAUGGCAAUUCCUGCCCGACCCAAGCUCAAGUUUGUCAUGGACCUUCUGACCCUCUGACUGCGUGUAGCUGGGUCCUCUUCCCGACACUGUGAGACAACUUUAACCACACCUCAGGCAGCAUCUCUGUAAGUCAUCCAAACUCCAUCUGCCCUUGCCCCCAGUCAUACAAAAUGUAAACAUGUUCACGGUCAACAGUGUGGUAGCUUGUGGUUUCCUUUAAUUCAAAGUUCAAAUCCCCCUCAGGGUUUACCAUGGUUUCUGUGCAAGUCCCAGAGUCCUUUUUUGUUUACUCUGAGUAUUCAGAUGGCAGACAGAGAGCUUCAGCCUAACUAACCACAGCAUCCUGUAGUCAGCAUGAAGAGUUUACAUGCAUCUUGAAAACUUUUGAGUGUUACUUGAUCUAGUGCCCUAAGAAGUAAUCCAAAGUAAAAUCUCAAACCUUUGCAUCAAUAUUUUCCUUUGGGGACUCCAAAGGAAAUUUUGUGAUCAAAUGCCAUCAUUUUUUACCUAUGAUGUUGACUGUGUAAUUAUUGGCAAUGUUCAGGCAUUCUUUGUUGCAAAUUCUUUUGAAACCACUGGCAAAUGCUUAGUAGUAUUGAUAAUACUGACCAAAGAUUAGUUUGGAAAUUUAAU